GCUGCUAAUUUGGUGAACUCUGUAGGCUUUUCUGCUCCUGCAUGGAGAAGAAAGAAAACAACCAAAGUAUGAUGGCAAGAAUAUAUGGAGAGAUUUGGCAGUGAAUCAACACUUUGUCAAGGAGCAAUUCUGCCUUCCCCCUCAAGUUCCUGCUCACUAUGGCUAGUGUUAAUGGAACUGCAGCAAGGACAGCUGAAGCAACUCGCUGUUCUACCAGUUCAAGUUUAUCUGUUUGUACAAAUAUCACAAUAAAAAAAACAGUGGCACUACAGUACAUCUUUCCCGGUCACCUUCUCUUCUCCCAGUAGCUGCAGUGCUCUACGAACUCCUAGCUGUGUUCCAUAGAACUGCAAGGCCAGUUGGUAGAAGUAUGAGAUUGACUGAUUUGAGCAGAGACGGCUUACAAAAGCAAGGACAAGAGCUGGCUUCAUGAACCUAGUAUAUCAGCAGGAGUUGUAAUAACUAUCUGAGAUAAUAGGAGAUGAAUCUGACUGGAACUAUGUGAUCUUGGGAAGUCAUGAAUUGAGUCUAUUUCAGAAGACAUUACUAAGCAAGGCAUGCCCUAAGUUAGACGUCCUAUCUCCUAGCUGGUGAGGGAAGAGAUCUACGAGCCUGUUCCUUGCUGCGUGUCACUGCUUACCUGGUAACACCACUGUAUGACUACAAGCAUACUUCUCCUGGCCAGAGGGCAAGCAGAGUGGACAUAUGCAUCCUCAUGCUCAAACUGCUGCUAAGUAACAGGACUACACCAUUCCCAUGACAUGUCAGGCCUCCUGGGAUGCUCAACUGCCAUGUGAGUUUCGCUUAAGUGAAAGCCAAAUACUUUCCUGGAAACAAAGCCAGCGUGUAUUCACUUUGCUUGCUGACAACAGUGGCGUGGCUCACCGCUAUUUCACUGGAUUGUCUCGUAACAGUAGCGUCGGACACCUCUGUGCUUCGAGAGGUAAGACGCACAUGUAUCUGUACGAUGUAUAGACCAACACGGCAGGGCAGAUCAGGUGUGCUGGUCCAAAAAGCAGCACCCCAAAUGUCACCAGCGGAAAGGAGCGGGAAAGAUAUCGGGAGCAUAGGCCUGACCGCCCAGCCUUACCCACCUCCAAGCCGCUCGGCCCGGGGCUCUGUACACCCAGCACGCACAGGGCCGGGGUACCGCAACCCCAACCCGCCUCGGGCGGCGGGAUGGCCAAACUCCCUGCAGUUCCGGCCGCCCCCCUGGAACUUCGCGCUGCGCCCGGGCCGCCGUGACGCUCUGCACCGGGAGAGGCGAAGUAGCGUGUGAGGGGAUCUUGCGGUGCUGGAGACAUACAGAUCGAUCCUUCCCGCUCGCCCCCUGCGCCCGCUCACCUUCUGGGCCGCCUCGGCGCGGCCCCGCCGCCCCGGCCGGCCGCUCGCCAGGUCCCGCAGCGAUAAGACGUUCACCUCCAUCUGCAAAGUGAGAAGGCACUUUUAUCCUGGCCCUUAAGAAAAGCCGCUCCCACCCCAGGUCAGAGCUCCCGUCCACAGCGGGACGCAAAAAAUGCGCGGCGGUUUGAGACU
Molecule: long non-coding RNA, 1536 nt
Organism: Pogoniulus pusillus (Red-fronted tinkerbird)
Lineage: Eukaryota; Metazoa; Chordata; Aves; Piciformes; Lybiidae
Exons: 2
Source: RefSeq, a predicted model, not a curated record